Molecule: transfer RNA, 87 nt
Filed under: Deltaproteobacteria bacterium
Lineage: Bacteria; Pseudomonadati; Myxococcota; Myxococcia
Description: tRNA-Ser
Rfam family: tRNA
About the family: Transfer RNA (tRNA) molecules are approximately 80 nucleotides in length.
Source: RNAcentral
GGAGAUGUGGCCGAGUGGUUGAAGGCGCUUGAUUCGAAAUCAAGUGUAGGGGCAACUCUACCGGGGGUUCGAAUCCCUCCAUCUCCG